Molecule: ribosomal RNA, 503 nt
Filed under: uncultured bacterium
Lineage: Bacteria
Description: partial 16S ribosomal RNA
Rfam family: Bacterial small subunit ribosomal RNA
Source: RNAcentral
AUUGAACGCUGGCGGCAGGCUUAACACAUGCAAGUCGAGCGGGGUGAUGGUGCUUGCACUAUCACUUAGCGGCGGACGGGUGAGUAAUGCUUAGGAAUCUGCCUAUUAGUGGGGGACAACAUCUCGAAAGGGAUGCUAAUACCGCAUACGUCCUACGGGAGAAAGCAGGGGAUCACUUGUGACCUUGCGCUAAUAGAUGAGCCUAAGUCGGAUUAGCUAGUUGGUGGGGUAAAGACCUACCAAGGCGACGAUCUGUAGCGGGUCUGAGCGGAUGUACCGCCACACUGGGACUGAGAAACGGACCAGACACCUACGGGAGGCAGCAGUGGGGAAUAUUUGACAAUGAGGUGAAACCUGAUCCAGCCAUGCCGCGUGUGUGAAGCAGGUCUUAUGGUUGUAAAGCACUUUAAGCGAGGAGGAGUCUCUUUUGGUUAAUACCCAAGAUGAGUGGACGUUACUCGCAGAAUAAGCACCGGCUAACUCUGUGCCAGCCGCCGCCGUAA